RNAcentral lists this transfer RNA (49 nucleotides) under Raukaua laetevirens. RNAcentral describes it as "partial tRNA-Leu". The record is from RNAcentral. Lineage: Eukaryota; Viridiplantae; Streptophyta; Magnoliopsida; Apiales; Araliaceae.
GUAAGAGGAAAAUCCGUCGACUUUAAAAUCGUGAGGGUUCAAGUCCCUC